This is a long non-coding RNA of Aethalodelphis obliquidens (Pacific white-sided dolphin), 917 nucleotides long. RefSeq lists it as uncharacterized. Lineage: Eukaryota; Metazoa; Chordata; Mammalia; Artiodactyla; Delphinidae. The record is from RefSeq and is a predicted model, not a curated record. The transcript is spliced from 3 exons.
GCCCGGGCCCACCCUACCUCUCCUUUUUGCCUCCCCGCCUCAGAAGGCAGUUUCCUUCCGAACUGGGCAGGGGGUCUCGCGCUGCAGCCCGUGGAGUGGUCUGGGGACUUGCCCCGGAGGUGGGGAAGCGGCCGCCGCCGCUCACACCCUCCUGUGGGGCCGGCGGGGUACAAGGCCCCCGGGUAGCUUAGUCCCCGCCGGCGGGCUGCAGAGGCAGUUGCCCUGGGUUACGGACGCGCUGGGGGCGGGGCGGUAGGCGGGACUGCGGGGGAUUCGCAGUGGAAGUGACGUAUACGCGCCACGCGCAACAAAGCUGAGCGCGAGAGGCGACGCCCACUGACCGCGGUGGGCGCGUGCUCCCGGCAGGCUGUGCGGGACCGCGAACAUUCCACCCGCGCCUGAGGAGCUCACUGCAGCUGAGAGCGCGGGAGGCCGCCUCGCGAGUCCCAAACAGGUUUCUAAAACAACGAACUUAAUGAGAGAACAGCCACCACAGACCUGCGCUCUGUCAGCAAGAAGCCUGAGUUCUCGGAGGUGCAGUUAAUGUCUCAGGGUCCACGAUGCUCACAAAUGCUAGAAAUCUAAGGUCAGGAAGGAGCUCGGCGACGCUCGCCCGGGUCUCCAGCAGCGAGCGGCCGACGCUCCUGCCGGAAGCAGUCGGGACACGGCGACCGCGCGUGUUCUCCAGGCCUCCCCGCCCUCCUCCCCCCUCCUCCCAACCCGCAGGACAAAGACUGCGGGGUCGUUUAAGUCACUCAGGGAGUAGCGGCCUCGCGACACGGGAUCCCAACAACAAUAAGCGUGUGCAGGGGUCGCCUCCCUUGACCGGGGCGACCAGCGGCGGGGACCCGAGGUGAGGAUCGAGGCCCCAGUCCCUUACCCCGAGUCAGCUUGGCUCGCCCCACGUGCCCGCCCGC